Molecule: ribosomal RNA, 694 nt
Filed under: Nakazawaea wickerhamii
Lineage: Eukaryota; Fungi; Ascomycota; Pichiomycetes; Alaninales; Pachysolenaceae
Description: LSU rRNA
Rfam family: Eukaryotic large subunit ribosomal RNA
Source: RNAcentral
AUUGCCUUAGUAACGGCGAGUGAAGCGGCAAGAGCUCAAAUUUGAAAUCUAGCACUUUCAGUGUUCGAGUUGUAAUUUGAAGAAGGUAUCUUUGGAGUUGGCCCCUGUCUAUGUUCCUUGGAACAGGACGUCACAGAGGGUGAGAAUCCCGUGCGAUGGGGAGACCAAUUCUUUGUAAAGUUCCUUCGAAGAGUCGAGUUGUUUGGGAAUGCAGCUCUAAGUGGGUGGUAAAUUCCAUCUAAAGCUAAAUAUUGGCGAGAGACCGAUAGCGAACAAGUACAGUGAUGGAAAGAUGAAAAGAACUUUGAAAAGAGAGUGAAAAAGUACGUGAAAUUGUUGAAAGGGAAGGGCUUUUGAUCAGACUUGGUGUUUAGUACUCUCUACUCCUUGUGGGUGGGGCUCUUGCUUUAUACUGGGCCAGCAUCGGUUUGGAUGGUAGGAUAAUGGCAUUGGAACGUGGCUCCACUUGUGGAGUGUUAUAGCCCUUGCUGAUGCUACCUAUCUAGACCGAGGACUGCGUCUUUGACUAGGAUGCUGGCGUAAUGAUUAAAAGCCGCCCGUCUUGAAACACGGACCAAGGAGUCUAACGUCUAUGCGAGUGUUUGGGUGUAAAACCCGUACGCGUAAUGAAAGUGAACGUAGGUGAGGGCCCUUUUUCUGGGUGCAUCAUCGACCGAUCCUGAUGUUUUCAGAU